UGAUUAGAUUCACAGUUGAAUUUGUGUUUAGGAAUUGGUUUAGAAUUCCACAAAACUUUACAGAAAAUGGUAGCUUAAUAAAGCUUAAACUAUUAUGUGAGAGUCCCCAUGGUGUACACUUUUGCGAAUAGUUUGCAUAUAUGCCGUAAUUGAAAUAUAUGGGCUACUAAAAUGCACCAAAGGCCCAUCUUCAAUUUGAUGAUACAAUUUCAAUCCUGUAUUUUCACAAUAUCCUGACAAAGGUAUGCAAACGAUGUCAUUCUGUACUCAGGAAAUACAGCUAAGCAUAAUUUAG
This is a non-coding RNA of Pelobates cultripes (western spadefoot toad), 295 nucleotides long. The record is from the annotation of a GenBank genome assembly. Lineage: Eukaryota; Metazoa; Chordata; Amphibia; Anura; Pelobatidae.